RNAcentral lists this non-coding RNA (164 nucleotides) under human gut metagenome. Its description in RNAcentral is "Lysine riboswitch". It matches the Rfam family "Lysine riboswitch aptamer". From Rfam's summary of the family: Riboswitches are metabolite binding domains within certain messenger RNAs that serve as precision sensors for their corresponding targets. The record is from RNAcentral.
UGGUAGAGGACGCGGAUAGGAUUAGUAUUUUGCAAUUUAACGUCGGCGAACGUUUGCAGAAGAAAGGCUGUUCCGCCGAAGUGGUCUUACGGUUGCCGCCGUUUGAUUGCUGGGAUCAUACUUAAUAGGUACGGUACUGUCACUUUUUUGUGGAGAGCUAUCAU